GGAUUCAGGAUGGCUGGCGUGCUCUCGCGCGUCGGUCGUUUGAUAUUUCCGUCGCCAACUAACCGCAGACGUCGCGACCUGUUCGCGGUCGGUCCCUGCUCGGAGGAGCCGCGUUCGAGCUCGUUGUGUGCGCGUUUCGGCGUGUCACACGGCGAAGGCGCGGAUCUCUGGCUGGCCGUCGGACAGUAUGCUUAACGGUGUCCGGUGUCGUCGUCUCGUACGCGCGGCAUCGGUACCGGUCAGCGACGAAUUCUUCGGGCCUCUUUCCGACCCGUCUUGAAACACGGACCAAGGAGUCUAACAUGCGCGCGAGUCGCGGGGUAUCGAGCGUACUUCGGUGCGUUCGUUAUGUUGCGAAACCCGUACAUGUUGAAGGCGUAAUGAAAGUGAAUGGGGAAGAUGGUGUUCCGAGUACACGUUCCGCGAUCGUCGGUAUCGCGGCCGGGCACCCGCAUUCCCAGGGCGUCUCAACGGCCCGUCGUUGAUGCGGACAGUCGUCUCUCGGGGCGGCUGUCGGUCGGCGACGAACCGA
RNAcentral lists this ribosomal RNA (532 nucleotides) under Chrysomphalus pinnulifer. RNAcentral's name for it is "eukaryotic LSU rRNA". The record is from RNAcentral. Lineage: Eukaryota; Metazoa; Arthropoda; Insecta; Hemiptera; Diaspididae.